This is an RNA transcript of Dioscorea cayenensis subsp. rotundata (Guinea yam), 1603 nucleotides long. It is a transcript of the gene named trihelix transcription factor ASIL1, with no coding region annotated. Lineage: Eukaryota; Viridiplantae; Streptophyta; Magnoliopsida; Dioscoreales; Dioscoreaceae. The record is from RefSeq and is a predicted model, not a curated record. The transcript is spliced from 3 exons.
GGACGAGUUACGGGGACCGAGUCACCCAUCCCUGAUCGCCAUCAUCGCAUCCCCAAAACCGGAAUUCUCGAAGCCACACGAUCAGAGCCAGAGAGACGCGUCUAGGGUUUGCCCCUCUUCUCGAUCGCCUCCUUCGCUCCGCCAUGGACGACACCGAGGACGACGCCAGGUACCCUCCCAACCCUCGUCGCUCCUUUCCCCCCUCCUCCCACCGGCCCAAAAUCCCCUUCCGCAAUCCCCCCUCUCCCCCUCCCGCCGCCUACGACGAUGACGAACCCGAUCGAGCCAUCGAAGACUCCGAAUCCGAUUCCGACGGUGAUCGCGGAUACCGUCGGAUGCGCGGCGACGACGAGGAUAGCUCCUCGUCGGAGAGCCGUGGAAAGCGUCGCAGGCUCGAUAAGCUUGCUUUAGGUUUCGAAUUUGCCCCCCGAGCUGCCGCUGCGGCAGCAGCCGCCCGACCACCGCCGCCCCCUCCGGCGAGGAAUUCACCGGCAGAUUGGUCAGAGGAAUCAACGUUUGCCCUGCUUGAUGCAUGGGGAGAGCUUUACGUCCAGAACGGCCGGAAAAGCCUUCGUUCCGAGGAGUGGAGCGAGGUUGCGAAGAAGGUCUCGCAGUCCUCGAGGACCGCCCGAUCCGACACCCAGUGCCGCAAUCGGGUGGAUACCUUGAAGAAGAAGUACAAGAAGGAGAAGGCCAGCAUGGCGGAAUCGAUGAAUCCCAAUAGUAAAUGGGUUUAUUUCAAAAAGAUGGACUUUUUGAUGUCGGCGCCUUCGCCACCUCCCCCUCUUCCGCCCCAGCUGCAGCCGCAGCCUUCCUGGCAGCCACCGGCGCCACCCAGGCCGAGUCCUUAUCUCAACCGAUCUAAUGGGCGGGAUGAAAUGAGGGAUAGCCCUGGUGAGACUGGGACGGACAACGAUGAGGACGAUGAUGACGACUCUGAUGGGCUUCCGCCAAAGAUGACAAAGGGUUUGGGUGUUCCAGGGCCCGCUUCGUUUAGGAUGCUCGCAGACUCCAUUAAGAGGUUUGGAGAGAUUUAUGAGAGGAUGGAGAAUAAUAAGCGGCAGCAGCUGGCAGAAUUGGACCGAAUGAGGAAGGAGUUUCAGAGGGAUUUGGAGAUCCAUAAAAGGCAGAUUUUGGAGAGAGCACAGGUGGAGCUCGCAAAGCUCAGGCAAACUGAGGAGGAAGAAGAAGAUGAGGAGGAUGAAGAGGAUAUCGAUGCUUCUGCUCGAUGAGCCUGUCCCUUGCAUCUUUUAUGUUAAAUCAAUCAGUUCUGUAUUCAUGGAGAUUGCGCACUCAAGGAAUGUAAGAAUCCCGGCGGUGAGUCAAGGACAAUGAGAAGGUUGGCCAUCUGAGUGCUGUGUUUGUCACAUAAAUAGUUCGUGUUAGAAACCUUUGUUCAAAUGUUGUAUAAUCUACCUAGGCAGAGUUGUGAUGCAGGCACAUAAAUACGUCUGCCCUUUAAUAUCUCUAAUGCUAUUGGCUAUUUCGCCCACUGUUAGAGAAAUGUAGUUUUAUUGUAUUUUUCCCUUGAAGACAUGAACAAGAUGCUGGUGUUCGCAAUCCAGACAUUCUAUGUUAAAACAAAUAAUUCUUAUUCUGCCCA